This 450-nucleotide long non-coding RNA is filed under the name Numida meleagris (helmeted guineafowl). Its description in RNAcentral is "lncRNA (ENSNMEG00000015620.1)". The record is from RNAcentral. Lineage: Eukaryota; Metazoa; Chordata; Aves; Galliformes; Numididae.
CCCUGGCACCCCUGCCACAGCUAAAGAAGUUGCUGUGGCCAGAACCCAGCUGCUGGCAGGUAUAUUGUCCAGCUCUGAAUCCCUCGUACAAACACCCAGCUUGGCAAGGAGAAGGCACUGCAAACCUGGUGAAUAUGAAGGAUUUAGAGAUCAUGGAGGGUGCUAACAGUCACAUUAUCCAGUGCAAAAGCAAGCCAUUUGUUGGACCAACAAUAUUAAUUUCUCUAAGUGACCUCGAAGGAUUUGCUGACGGGAUUUCAUCAUCAAAAAGCCUAUCAGCAGGGUAAGCAGACUAGAAGAGCCAGACUUGUGUCCUCCCUCCCUUUUCUCCCCUGCCACAGGUAAUGCAGGAUCAUCCACAGCCAUCUCAAAAUGUUCACUGCUUGCUCAAUUUUGUAUUACAGGAAGCACAGCUCCACUAGGUGAUGAACCUUCAGUAAUUACCUGAUG